GCCGCGGUAAUUACGGAGGGUGCGAGCGUUAAUCGGAAGUUACUGGGCGUAAAGCGCAUGCAGGCGGCCUGUUAAGUUCAGAUGUGAAAGCCCGGGGCGUUAACCUCGGGAAUUGCAUUUGAAACUGGCAGGCUAGAGUCUUGUAGAGGGGGGUAGGAAUUUCAGGUGUAGCGGUGAAAUGCGUAGAGAUCUGAAGGAAUACCAGUGGCGAAGGCGGCCCCCUCGGACAAAGACUGACGCUCAGAUGCGAAAGCGUGGGGAGCAAACAGGAUUAGAUACCCCUGGUAG
RNAcentral lists this ribosomal RNA (288 nucleotides) under uncultured bacterium. RNAcentral describes it as "partial 16S ribosomal RNA". It matches the Rfam family "Bacterial small subunit ribosomal RNA", at positions 514 to 793 of the family's 1533-position model. The record is from RNAcentral.